Molecule: transfer RNA, 86 nt
Filed under: Yoania amagiensis
Lineage: Eukaryota; Viridiplantae; Streptophyta; Magnoliopsida; Asparagales; Orchidaceae
Description: tRNA-Tyr
Rfam family: tRNA
About the family: Transfer RNA (tRNA) molecules are approximately 80 nucleotides in length. Their secondary structure includes four short double-helical elements and three loops (D, anti-codon, and T loops).
Source: RNAcentral
UGGGUCGAUGCCCGAGCGGUUAAUGGGGACGGACUGUAAAUUCGUUGACGAUAUGUCUACGCUGGUUCAAAUCCAGCUCGUCCCAG